GACGAACGCUGGCGGCGUGCUUAACACAUGCAAGUCGAACGGAAAGGCCCUGCUUUUGUGGGUUUCUCGAGUGGCGAACGGGUGAGUAACACGUGUGUAACCUGCCCUUGACUUUGGGAUAACUUCAGGAAACUGGGGCUAAUACCGGAUAGGAUCUCCUGCUGCAUGUUGGGGGUUGGAAAGUUUCGGCUGUUGUGGAUGGACUCGCGGCUUAUCAGCUUGUUUGUGGGGUAGUGGCUUACCAAGGCUUUGACGGGUAGCCUGCCUGAGCGGGGUACCGGCGACAUGGGGACUGAGAUACGGCCCAGAAGCCUACGGGACGCAGUAGUGGGGAGUAUUGCACAAUGGGCGGAAGCCUGAGGCAGAAACGCCGCGUGCGGGAUGACGGCCUUCGGGUUGUAAACCGAUUUCGACUGAGACGAAGCGGGAGUGACGGUAAUGGGUAAAGAAGCACCGGCUAACUACGUG
RNAcentral lists this ribosomal RNA (468 nucleotides) under uncultured bacterium. Its description in RNAcentral is "partial 16S ribosomal RNA". It matches the Rfam family "Bacterial small subunit ribosomal RNA", at positions 28 to 507 of the family's 1533-position model. The record is from RNAcentral.